CUUUAGCCCCGGUAGCAGUGGAAAUCCUUUUGUGCCGGUGUUCGGUACAAAAGAUUGCAACGAAUUGCUUCGCCAGUU
Non-coding RNA from Flavobacterium sp. A45, 78 nucleotides. The record is from Rfam. Lineage: Bacteria; Pseudomonadati; Bacteroidota; Flavobacteriia; Flavobacteriales; Flavobacteriaceae.